RNAcentral lists this ribosomal RNA (780 nucleotides) under uncultured bacterium. Its description in RNAcentral is "bacterial SSU rRNA". It matches the Rfam family "Bacterial small subunit ribosomal RNA", at positions 8 to 796 of the family's 1533-position model. The record is from RNAcentral.
AGAGUUUGAUCAUGGCUCAGAUUGAACGCUGGCGGUAUGCCUAACACAUGCAAGUCGAACGAGGUAGCAAUACCUAGUGGCGGACGGGUGAGGAAUACGUAGGGAUCUGCCCUUAAGUGGGGGAUAACCCGGGGAAACCCGGAUUAAUACCGCAUGAUCUCGCAAGAGCAAAGAGGGGGACCGCAAGGCCUCUCGCUUUUGGAGGAACCUACGUCGGAUUAGCUAGUUGGUGAGGUAAUGGCUCACCAAGGCGACGAUCCGUAACUGGUCUGAGAGGAUGAUCAGUCACACCGGAACUGAGACACGGUCCGGACUCCUACGGGAGGCAGCAGUGGGGAAUAUUGGACAAUGGGCGAAAGCCUGAUCCAGCAAUACCGCGUGUGUGAAGAAGGCCUUCGGGUUGUAAAGCACUUUAAGUUGGGAAGAAAAAGCUUCACCUAAUACGUGAAGCCUUGACGGUACCGACAGAAUAAGCACCGGCUAACUCUGUGCCAGCAGCCGCGGUAAUACAGAGGGUGCUAGCGUUAAUCGGAUUUACUGGGCGUAAAGCGUGCGUAGGUGGUUUGAUAAGUCGAUUGUGAAAGCCCCGGGCUUAACCUGGGAAUUGCGGUCGAUACUGUCAGACUCGAAAACGGUAGAGGGAGGUGGAACUCCAGGUGUAGCGGUGAAAUGCGUAGAUAUCUGGAAGAACACCGAUGGCGAAGGCAGCCUCCUGGGCCUGUUUUGACACUGAGGCACGAAAGCGUGGGUAGCAAACAGGAUUAGAUACCCCGGUAGUCC